RNAcentral lists this ribosomal RNA (251 nucleotides) under uncultured bacterium. Its description in RNAcentral is "partial 16S ribosomal RNA". It matches the Rfam family "Bacterial small subunit ribosomal RNA", at positions 526 to 776 of the family's 1533-position model. The record is from RNAcentral.
CGUAGGGUGCAAGCGUUAAUCGGAAUUACUGGGCGUAAAGCGUGCGCAGGCGGUUUUUCAAGACGGGUGUGAAAUCCCCGGGCUUAACCUGGGAAUGGCAUUUGUGACUGGAAGGCUAGAGUGUGUCAGAGGGGGGUAGAAUUCCACGUGUAGCAGUGAAAUGCGUAGAGAUGUGGAGGAAUACCGAUGGCGAAGGCAGCCCCCUGGGAUAACACUGACGCUCAUGCACGAAAGCGUGGGGAGCAAACAGG